RNAcentral lists this unclassified non-coding RNA (4160 nucleotides) under Hevea brasiliensis (rubber tree). The record is from RNAcentral. Lineage: Eukaryota; Viridiplantae; Streptophyta; Magnoliopsida; Malpighiales; Euphorbiaceae.
AAAAAAGACUAGAGCCAGAGAACAGGCGGAGAAAUAUGAUAUCUGGUGGUGGUCGUGACAUCUGACCGCCAGACGCUAGUCUCCAAUCCCUUCUGUCUAUCUCUCUUUCUUCUUGCCUGUGGCAAUACUAACAAUAAUAACGAUUCGAGUUUCGCUGGCCAUGUCUGCAACGGCCGCCAUUGCCUUCGCUCCUCUCAGUCCCACCCUCUUGUCCACUAAAAACAACAGUAAAGUCCUAUUCAGCCCCAUACUCGCACCAAAUGUUAAAACCACAAUAUCUUUAAGGCCUUUUCUGUUCAGAGUCCAGUAUGGAUCGCCCAAACGAAGCUCCACAUUUACUGGGUUCAAGCCCUUUUCUCCUCCUGUCAUGGAGUGGCAGGAUUGCACGGUUAAAAGGGAUAUCGAUGUGCCUGUUGCUGUGGCUUAUAAGUGUUACUCAGACCGCGAAUCAAUUCCCCGUUGGAUGCCCUUUAUUUCGUCCGUAAAGGUACUGGAAGACAAGCCCGACCUAUCGCGAUGGUCACUCAAGUAUAAAGCAUUUGGUCGUGAUAUUGAAUUCUCUUGGCUUGCUAGAAAUAUGCAGCCAAUCCCAAAUCAGAAAAUUCAUUGGAGAUCUCUGGAAGGUCUUCCUAACAGGUAACGGGAAAAAGCAGGUAGCAGAUAGUGCAUUAAUGGCAAGUGUAUUAUCAAGAAACAAGAAGAUACUGUCUGGCCUUGGCACUUUUUUAAAAGAAUUGGAUCAUUAUUUUUCUUGUUAUUAUUUUUGGCUAGAUCCUGUUUGCUCAUGUUUUCCUAUGCUUAAUAAUGGAUCAGAAGUCUGCAAUCACAGAAACGACUCUAUAUACUAUCUCUCUGAUAUCACCACCACUAGUUAACACAACUCUCUUAACCGUAUUAAGGUGACUCAAAUAACUUGUGCUCCCAGAACAAAAGAUAGGAAGCUAACAUAAAUGCCUGCUAUAUCAGCAUUUCUAAGGAACAUUAGGUUUCUAACUUCUCAGGGCGCACUUAAUUUUACACUUAAGAAGUUUUCCCUGCACAUGUCUAGUAAGGUAAGGGCAAAGACUUGUGGCAGUGCACAUGUUAGUUGGACCUAAUUCGUUUGGACUUAGUUGUUACUAUCAGACUGGCAGUUCCUCUUGCCCUCUUAAGUUCAAGUUUUCUUUUUCUUAAGUACAAGUUUUCUUUUUCUUUUUCCUUUUCCUUUUUUUUUUGGUUUUUAUUUUGAAGUAUCUUCAAAUUGGGUUGAUAUUUCUCUAUGAAUUCACAUUAUUACAAGUUUUGACUCUUGACUAGCUUGCGCUGUUGGAGAUUGUGAUGGUGCCAAACACUAAGUGGUUUUCCAUGAAUGUAAAGUAGGAACCCUAUUUCAUCAAUGUGUCCGUGUCUAAAUUCUGCAGGAUUCAUCUCAUGAACAAUAACUAAAAUAUUGAGGUGCUGUUCGAUUCUUUCCUAAGGGUCCUUCAUCAUGUACAGUAGAGCUAACUGUUUCUUACGAGGUUCCUCAACUUUUGGUUCCAGUUGCAACAGCUUUGCUACCUUUCCUUGAGAGCUUACUUGUACGUGGUCUGGAAAGAUUUGCAACAUUUGCGGAAAGCUCUUUGGCAGACUGAAACCUAUGCUUUCAGCUGGAUAACCAAAUUUCGAUAAUUGGUAAUUUUCAACAACUAUUUUAAUGUGCGAAGUCUUGAAAUGAAAUAUAGUCCUUUUUACACUAGAAUUUUGCUGUUUUAAAAGAAAAAGAAAAAAAAUUGCAAUCACUGUUGCGUAGAGUAACAGAGUUCUUGAUUUAUUAUCAAUUGUAAUCGCUAGUAUUUUACAUGCAUGAAUUUGCCAUUGGUUGGCUUGUCUUAAAGAAAUUCCAUUUGUUACUUGGGAAUUAUUUGGUGUUAUUAUUGGAGUUGUUUUUAAGAACUCCCAAGGGAUAGGAUUCUGAGAAGAAAAGCAAAGCUUAAAAAGCUGCUGGGAGUCUGUUUCAAAUUGUGUUUGCAUGUGAGCGUGAGAGGGCAUUUCUCAUUGGCAGAUAGGAAUAAGAUUGUUACUAAAAAUUUGGUUCUGAUUUUGGUAUCUCUUAAAUUGUUCUUGAUUAAGGUUUAUUAUCUCUUCGAAAUUGAAAUGAGAAUAUGGGUUUCUCUUGAUUUGAUUUUAUACUUUGCGGUGAACCCACCAUGUCUCCAUGAUGACAUCCACCUAGACAAUCAUGUUCGUAAAAUACCGUCAAGUGGAUUACUAAAAAUAUUCCUUCUGUUUACCCUUUGGCAUAUCCAUUUCACAGUGUUCCAGUAUACAGUCAUAUGCAGAACUAUUUUCUACUACGAUAUCCUGCCAAUCAUAUCAUGGUAUUUUGCUGAAUGAUUUUUGUAUAGCACUCGGAAUACCGCAAAUUCCAUAAAAUUGCAGUAGACAUAAGAACAAGCUGCCAAUUGCCAAGGAAAAUAGAUGGAAAUAAAAAUUAAGAUCUUUUAUUCAAACUGUAUAUACAUGGAGUACACAAUUGAAAAUAGAAUAACAUCAAAUGGACAACCAUACUGGACAACCAUACUGGACUGUUAGGAGAAUCAAGUCCCCGGAUGAGCACAUUAUACAGUACACCAUUUUAAUCUCAGCACCAACACCUCCAUCCACCACACUCCACUUACGUACAUCCAUCCAACUAACCGCCUGCUGUUUGAAAAAUCAGCACCUACAAAACUGCUAGCUGCUUUUUCCAGAGUCAAAUUGAAGCAGCCAGUAGUAGUUGUUCACCUUCCAAAUAGGGAUUUUUAUUUAAAAAUUAUGCCAUGUACAUUCAACGGUUGGCACUGCUAUCCAACAAGCUCUUCAAGCUACACAAUGCCUCUGCAGAGAGGCUACAACACCUCGGUCUCUGUUGCCUAGGUGGUGAUGACUCCCUAUUGUCAAGGGGGGAGAAGCAGACAACAAUCACAGUCAGAUUGUCAAAUGUGUUCCGGCGCAAGGCCUCCAUGACAAGGUCCCUAGCACACAGAUCUGGAUCAUCAUGCCGCCUCAACCCCCGACGGACAAGGUUCACGGCACGCUGACUUGACAUGACAUCCCAAAUCCCAUCACAACCAAUAAUAAGAAACUCAUCAUCCUCUGUUAGAAUCACCUGCUGGAACUCUGGCUCCGCAAUGAGCGGCGAAGGAGCACCUUGGGGGUUUUUCAUGUCCCAAUCCCCAAGAGCUCGAGAAACUGAUAAAACACCAUUGAGAUAUCCAUCAUCAAUGUAACCACCCAAUUCCUCAACACGCCUUCGUUCUGAUGGAUAAACAGGCCUAUGGUCUUGAGACAUGUCUAUUGCCUCUCCUUUACGACAGAGGACAGCUCGGCAAUCACCAACAUUGGCCACCAUUAAUAGCCUUCCAAAUACAAAAGCAGUAAGUGCAGUUGUCCCGGAAGAACUGCUCACGCUACUGUCAUCUGCCAAAGCUAGGUCGGCCAGAAGAAAUGCUUUCCGAAGGGAGUUCUCAACCUCCUCCAAGAAGAUAUUAUCAACUUCAUAUGUUUGGGGAAAAUUAACAUCUUCAAAAAAGAGUCUGAUUGCAUUUUUCCUAAUAUAAGAUGCUGCUUCACGUCCUCCAUGACCAUCAAAAAUCUGCAAAUAUAUUCAAAAAAUCAAACAAUUAUAUGGCAAACAAAAUUAUGGAAUUUGAAGAUGUUUACACACAUUGGUCUGGAUGACACAUUACCCCAUAAAAAGCACUUGGCGUGGGAAACUUGAAAAGGGCACCCAGGUGUGUGGACAGAUCAUCUAUCCGUAUGUGCUCAUCUUCCAUACAUCUUCGGGGCCCAAUGUCAGCAAAACUGCCAGAACGGAUGCUGGGAACAAAAUGAAAGAUUGCAUUCUCAAGAGACACGUGUGGAAUUUUGUCAGCGGAUUUAAUAUCCACCACUUGAGAGGUAGAUAAAUCGGCAGGUACCGAAUCCGAAACACGAACUUGAUUUAACCUUCUGGGCGAGAUGUUAAGGACAUCUUCAAUCUCGUGAACGCCACUUCCAUUAGCAAAGUAUUGAACAUCCAACACAGGGACGCUCUGUUGACAGACAACCUUUGCUUCAGCCACCAUAUUUCAUUUACUAAACCAAAAUUUCUCUUCUCAAAAAGAUUCAAAACUCGAACUCAACACACACAAUUAGAGAUAUUUGUUUCUCUUCCUUCU